GGUGAUGUGCAACGGGUAGGAUUCAUAACCCAUAGGUCGGCAGUUCGAUUCUGCCCAUCACCACCA
Molecule: transfer RNA, 66 nt
Filed under: Azonexus sp.
Lineage: Bacteria; Pseudomonadati; Pseudomonadota; Betaproteobacteria; Rhodocyclales; Azonexaceae
Description: tRNA-OTHER
Rfam family: tRNA
About the family: Transfer RNA (tRNA) molecules are approximately 80 nucleotides in length.
Source: RNAcentral